CCUACGGGGGGCAGCAGUGAGGAAUAUUGGUCAAUGGCCGGAAGGCUGAACCAGCCAUGCCGCGUGAAGGUCAGUGCCCUAUGGGCGUUAAACUUCUUUUGUGCGGGAGCAAUAAUGGUCACGUGUGGCCAGACGAGAGUACCGUACGAAUAAGCAUCGGCUAACUUCGUGCCAGCAGCCGCGGUAAUACGGGGGAUGCAAGCGUUAUCCGGAUUUAUUGGGUUUAAAGGGUGCGUAGGCUGUGAGGUAAGUCAGCGGUGAAAUGCCCCCGCUCAACGGGGUGAAGUGCUAUUGAUACUGCCUGGCUGGAGUGCGGAUGCGGUGGGAGGAAUGUGUGGUGUAGCGGUGAAAUGCAUAGAUAUCACACAGAACACCGAUUGCGAAGGCAUCUCACGAAUCCGCGAUUGACGCUGAUGCACGAAAGCGUGGGUAUCAAACAGGAUUAGAUACCCUAGUAGUC
RNAcentral lists this ribosomal RNA (460 nucleotides) under uncultured bacterium. RNAcentral's name for it is "partial 16S ribosomal RNA". It matches the Rfam family "Bacterial small subunit ribosomal RNA", at positions 338 to 795 of the family's 1533-position model. The record is from RNAcentral.